GAUGAACGCUGGCGGCGUGCCUAAUACAUGCAAGUCGAGCGAACGGACGAGAAGCUUGCUUUUCUGAUGUUAGCGGCGGACGGGUGAGUAACACGUGGAUAACCUACCUAUAAGACUGGGAUAACUUCGGGAAACCGGAGCUAAUACCGGAUAAUAUUUUGAACCGCAUGGUUCAAAAGUGAAAGACGGUCUUGCUGUCACUUAUAGAUGGAUCCGCGCUGCAUUAGCUAGUUGGUAAGGUAACGGCUUACCAAGGCAACGAUGCAUAGCCGACCUGAGAGGGUGAUCGGCCACACUGGAACUGAGACACGGUCCAGACUCCUACGGGAGGCAGCAGUAGGGAAUCCUCCGCAAUGGGCGAAAGCCUGACGGAGCAACGCCGCGUGAGUGAUGAAGGUCUUCGGAUCGUAAAACUCUGUUAUUAGGGAAGAACAUAUGUGUAAGUAACUGUGCACAUCUUGACGGUACCUAAUCAGAAAGCCACGGCUAACUACGUGCCAGCAGCCGCGGUAAUACGUANGUGGCAAGCGUUAUCCGGAAUUUAUGGGCGUNAAGCGCGCGUAGGCGGUUUUUUAAGUCUGAUGUGAAAGCCCACGGCUCAACCGUGGAGGGUCAUUGGAAACUGGAAAACUUGAGUGCAGAAGAGGAAAGUGGAAUUCCAUGUGUAGCGGUGAAAUGCGCAGAGAUAUGGAGGAACACCAGUGGCGAAGGCGACUUUCUGGUCUGUAACUGACGCUGAUGUGCGAAAGCGUGGGGAUCAAACAGGAUUAGAUACCCUGGUAGUCCACGCCGUAAACGAUGAGUGCUAAGUGUUAGGGGGUUUCCGCCCCUUAGUGCUGCAGCUAACGCAUUAAGCACUCCGCCUGGGGAGUACGACCGCAAGGUUGAAACUCAAAGGAAUUGACGGGGACCCGCACAAGCGGUGGAGCAUGUGGUUUAAUUCGAAGCAACGCGAAGAACCUUACCAAAUCUUGACAUCCUUUGACAACUCUAGAGAUAGAGCCUUCCCCUUCGGGGGACAAAGUGACAGGUGGUGCAUGGUUGUCGUCAGCUCGUGUCGUGAGAUGUUGGGUUAAGUCCCGCAACGAGCGCAACCCUUAAGCUUAGUUGCCAUCAUUAAGUUGGGCACUCUAAGUUGACUGCCGGUGACAAACCGGAGGAAGGUGGGGAUGACGUCAAAUCAUCAUGCCCCUUAUGAUUUGGGCUACACACGUGCUACAAUGGACAAUACAAAGGGCAGCGAAACCGCGAGGUCAAGCAAAUCCCAUAAAGUUGUUCUCAGUUCGGAUUGUAGUCUGCAACUCGACUACAUGAAGCUGGAAUCGCUAGUAAUCGUAGAUCAGCAUGCUACGGUGAAUACGUUCCCGGGUCU
RNAcentral lists this ribosomal RNA (1372 nucleotides) under uncultured bacterium. RNAcentral describes it as "bacterial SSU rRNA". It matches the Rfam family "Bacterial small subunit ribosomal RNA", at positions 28 to 1381 of the family's 1533-position model. The record is from RNAcentral.